Molecule: long non-coding RNA, 3656 nt
Organism: Acinonyx jubatus (cheetah)
Lineage: Eukaryota; Metazoa; Chordata; Mammalia; Carnivora; Felidae
Exons: 6
Source: RefSeq, a predicted model, not a curated record
GCAGGGGAGGGGCAGAGGGAGAGGGAGACACAGAAUCUGAAGCAGGCUCCAGGCCACCAGCAUGGGAGCCCUGCGUGGGGCUCAAACUCACAAACGAUGAGAUCAUGACUGAGCCAGUCAGAUGCUUAACCCACUGGGCCACCUGGGCACCCCUCACACUCUACAUUCUUUUUUUUUUUUUUUUAAUGUUUAUUUUUGACAGACAGAGCAUGAGCAGGGGAGGGGCAGAGAGAGAGAGAGGGAGACACAGAAUCAGAAGCAGGCUCCAGGCUCUGAGCUGUCAGCACAGAGCCUGAAGCGGGGCUCGAGCUCACAGACUGCAAGAUCGUGACUUGAGCCAAAGUUGGACGCUCAAUCAACUGAGCCACUCAGGCGCCCCACCCUGUACAUUCUUAAUGAACAUUUAGGUUUAUCUAUUUGAUGUAAUUUCAUUUACAUAGUGGGAGAAAUUGCUUCAGCUGCAGCUAUAAACCUUUUAUAACAAUGGCAAAUUUAAAAUUCUUACUAUGUGCUUUUCACUUUACUGUGGGCUUAUCCAAAAGUGAAUCGUAUUCUUUUCACUUUUUUUAAUGGUAGAAGAACCCUGAGAGAGAUAGCUACUGUAAGUCUGACAGUUUUAUCAUAGAAAGCUGAAGCAAUUUGCUCAAGGUCACAAGACUUUUAAGAGGUGGAGUUAUUUAGCUUUAGUUUUAGUUACUCUGUCCCUAAUACAGUGUUCUUCUCAUGUAGCUAUUUGAAUCUCAUAUUGCCUUUUAAUUAAUCAUUAGAUCAAUAAACAUUUGUUGGUUUCACAACCGUUAUAUCAAAAGAGAUCGUCAUACUUUAAAAAUUCUGAUGAGGUCAGUGUCUUCUCAGUUUCCUCCUUGGAACAAUGCUAAAUCAUAUGUGGCUGUUUAAAUAUUAAAACCCUAUGGAAUCACAGAGCACUCAAAGCUCAAAUUAAUGCUGGGAAUUGUAAUUACAUACAUUUCUUGUGAAAAGACUUGAUGGUUGGUUUGAAUUACAACUGUGUGGCUUUGGGAAAAUUACUUAAUAUCUUUAGGCUCUGGUUUCCUUAAAUGUAAAGUGGGGAUAAUACCACUUCUCUGGGAGGUCGCCAAGAUUAAAGUAGACAAUACAUUUGUCAAAGUCCCUAGCACAGUGCCUGACACAUAAUAGGCACUCAGUAAAUGUUAGUUUCUCCUUGACUAAUUUCUUUCAUUGGCUGUGUGGGAAAAUUAUGCGAACAAACUGUACAAGUCAAUCACUUCCAAGGGCUUUUUGAAAAUAAUGAUAGUCUUAAGAGAGCACUGUCAUUAUUGUUGGUUGGGGUCAGUUUUUUCCCUGCAAGAACAUAAAGUUAAAAUUUACUGGAGAGUAUUUAAUACACAACAAUUUGCUAUGAAUCUGACUUUUCUUCAGGAACACACUUAAUGAUGAAAUCAAAUCAAGCAGAAGUUUUUUUGCAUGCGAUUCAAGAACGCUCUCUAUCCAGUCUGCACUGAAAUUGCAUUACCUGGAGUUAAGGAGGAAGUGUACUCAGUUGAGCUUGGAAGCAAUGUUACCAGAAAAGGAUUAACAAAUCAUAAGACAAAAUCCUUGGAACUUUAUUGGUAAUAGCCAAAAGAAAGAAAGAAAGAAAAAGGAAGGAAGGAAGGAAGGAAGGAAGAAACAACCCAACUGUCCAUCAAUAGGUGUCUUGCAGCUCAGCCUCUUUGGAGUGUUUAUCUAGACCUCUGCUCAAGAUGGCUGUCUACUGAGUACUUGAAGAAGGUGACCCUGUUCCUGCUAAUCCUUCUCACCAUGAGUUCCAGGCCAUUCCAGAUGACUAUUCUAGCUGUCUCUGCCUUUCUACCACCCGAUGCAGGCUACAUCACCGCAGUCCUGCAUGACAAGGAGAGCAUCUAACGACAUCUACCUUCACUACCCCUGUCUGCCGACGUGUUCUCCAAUGGAUCCACGGUCAGACUGCUAUCCUUGAAAUUCAGCACCGGCCCCCUCCCAGUUCUGGAGACCAGGUGCCCAUUUAUGUUAAUGGGAGAAAGAAAAGGGGUCUUCUCCCCUCCUGAGAACGAUCUUCUUCCACCCACUCCGCCCCUGUCGCGCCUCCCACAACCCACUUGUAGACAGCAGUGGGUUUCUGGAAACAGUGCUGCCUCUUCUCAGGUGAUCACUACUAGAGUUAUUCCAAUGGCAGGAAUUUCAAGCCGGGUAAGAGGAGCCAUGCCAGGCUGCCAGAUGGUGGGGGAGAUAAAUGUGGGCGAGCAAGCUUCAGACUAAAGCAAGGGAGAGGGGAUCGGGUGUUGUAAUCACAGCCAAGAAAAGGAGUCAGGUGACCCUCAUUACAUAGUAUAGAGCCCUGUUAUAAUAUCCCUUAUUACUACUCGAACUUGGAUUUAACCUGGGACAAACCCUUUUCUUCUCCUGCUUCUGCCUUCCCACCCUAGGUUAUAUCUCUUUCCCUGUGAAGUCAUCACUCUUAAUAAUAAUACUAAGAAAUAACUGUUACUAAUGGCUUUAGGUCAUUUCAUCUAAGAUGUCACAGCCAGAACAUUUUGCCCAGUUUUUCAGAUGAGCAAAGGCAUUCCCAAGGUCACAUGCAGCUGAGAACAGACAGAUCUGGGAUUCAAACUCAGGUCUUUCUGGCUCAGAAACUCUUGUCCUGUUCUCCUGAGGAUGACGUAGGGGGGAUUUGCUCUAAACCCUACAUCUUUUUUUUUUUUUUUAAUUUUUCUUUUUUUUUACAUUUAUUUAUUUUUGAGAAACACAGUGAGACAAAGCGUGAGCGGGGGAGGGGCAGAGAGAGGAGGAGAGACAGAAUCUGAAGCAGGCUCCAGGCUAAGCUGUCGGCACAGAGCCUGAUGCGGAGCUGGAACCCACGAACUGUGAGAUCAUGACCUGAGCCGAAGUAGGACGCUCAACCGACUGAGCCACCCAAGGCGCCCAUAAACCCUACGUCUUUUAAUGAAAAACAUAAAUGCAACACGUCUUAGGGACAGUGAAGGCGGAGCAUUAGAAUCCCAAGCAGGCCCUCCAGAGUGGACACUGGAAAAGGGGUGGGCAACAGGGUGGGGACUCAGUGGGACGUGUCUGCUUCCUCCCCAUGUUUUGGUGACGACAGAAACUGUCGCCAAAACCCGUCCGGGAACAGUGGUUUAGACAUUCUCCCCCUACUGGACCCUGCCGCUCCCCAACACCAGUUUUCUUCGCACACUCCGCAACGAUAGACAGAAGAAUUUAAUACAUUUAAUGCUUUUCCUUCCAUUUACGCUAUCAUAAAUUACAAAGUAGUAUUCACUUCACAAAAUAAAACCAUUUUCAGAUAAUCUUUUGACAGUAUCCAGAAGUACAGAAGCUACAACAAACAAAUCUGUACAGUUGGGAGGAACAAUAGAGCAGGGACCCAGCAGAACCAUUCUGACCCCGCCGUGUGCCAACAGAGCCCAUGCAGGACAACAGCUGCACCGCCCUCCUCCUUCCGGCUCACUUCUCACACAGUAAUUCUCUUCCGGUCACUCCAAAACCAGACUACCGACAAAACAGAUGUACGUAGGAGGCACGGCAAAGACCCAAGACAAGGGCCUUGGUCACUCUCACCCCUGCUCUUCUCACGUGGACGAGGCGAGUGUCUAUGAGACACAGGAGCCGACUUGACAACCCGCUGCGGUCCAGGAAAU